This 541-nucleotide ribosomal RNA is filed under the name Escherichia coli. Its description in RNAcentral is "partial 23S ribosomal RNA". It matches the Rfam family "Bacterial large subunit ribosomal RNA", at positions 1291 to 1817 of the family's 2925-position model. Lineage: Bacteria; Pseudomonadati; Pseudomonadota; Gammaproteobacteria; Enterobacterales; Enterobacteriaceae. The record is from RNAcentral.
CGAAUGCUGACAUAAGUAACGAUAAAGCGGGUGAAAAGCCCGCUCGCCGGAAGACCAAGGGUUCCUGUCCAACGUUAAUCGGGGCAGGGUGAGUCGACCCCUAAGGCGAGGCCGAAAGGCGUAGUCGAUGGGAAACAGGUUAAUAUUCCUGUACUUGGUGUUACUGCGAAGGGGGGACGGAGAAGGCUAUGUUGGCCGGGCGACGGUUGUCCCGGUUUAAGCGUGUAGGCUGGUUUUCCAGGCAAAUCCGGAAAAUCAAGGCUGAGGCGUGAUGACGAGGCACUACGGUGCUGAAGCAACAAAUGCCCUGCUUCCAGGAAAAGCCUCUAAGCAUCAGGUAACAUCAAAUCGUACCCCAAACCGACACAGGUGGUCAGGUAGAGAAUACCAAGGCGCUUGAGAGAACUCGGGUGAAGGAACUAGGCAAAAUGGUGCCGUAACUUCGGGAGAAGGCACGCUGAUAUGUAGGUGAAGUCCCUCGCGGAUGGAGCUGAAAUCAGUCGAAGAUACCAGCUGGCUGCAACUGUUUAUUAAAAACACA